GACGUAGGGAGCGAGCGUUGUCCGGAUUCAUUGGGCGUAAAGCGCGCGUAGGCGGCCUCGCAAGUCGGUUGUGAAAUCCCGGGGCUCAACCCCGGGACUGCGUCCGAUACUGCGAGGCUGGAGGUAGGUGGGGGAGAUCGGAAUUCCUGGUGUAGCGGUGAAAUGCGCAGAUAUCAGGAGGAACACCGAUGGCGAAGGCAGAUCUCUGGGCCGUACCUGACGCUGAGGCGCGAAAGCGAGGGGAGCGAACAGG
This 253-nucleotide ribosomal RNA is filed under the name uncultured bacterium. RNAcentral describes it as "partial 16S ribosomal RNA". It matches the Rfam family "Bacterial small subunit ribosomal RNA", at positions 524 to 776 of the family's 1533-position model. The record is from RNAcentral.